GGCUGGGCUGGCCGAGCAGUGCGCGCCGGGGGCUGACGGGGCAGAGCGCACGACGCCGCCUACGCGCGAGCUGCAACCUCCUACCGUCGUCGCCGCCAGCACAGGAGGGGGGCCAAGACGUCUCUCCAACGGGGGGCUAGCGCAGGACCGCGUCAGGCGUCCAAAAGAAGGAAGAUGCCUCGCGGCGACAGAGAAAGCGACUGGAGGGAAAAGGAGCAGUUCCGCAAACUGUUUAUUGGUGGCUUAAGCUUUGAAACAACAGAGGAAAGCUUGAGAAGUUACUAUGAGCAAUGGGGAAAGCUUACAGACUGUGUGGUAAUGAGGGAUCCCGCAAGCAAAAGAUCAAGGGGGUUUGGUUUUGUAACAUUCUCCUCCAUGGCUGAAGUUGAUGCAGCUAUGGCUGCAAGACCUCACACGAUUGAUGGAAGGGUGGUUGAGCCCAAGAGAGCUGUGGCUAGAGAGGAAUCUGGAAAACCUGGUGCUCAUGUUACUGUGAAAAAACUAUUUGUUGGUGGUAUUAAGGAGGACACUGAAGAGCACCACCUUCGUGACUACUUUGAGGAAUAUGGAAAAAUUGACACUAUUGAAAUCAUUACUGACAGACAGUCUGGUAAAAAGAGAGGGUUUGGAUUUGUUACAUUUGAUGACCAUGAUCCUGUGGAUAAAAUUGUAUUGCAGAAGUAUCACACCAUUAAUGGCCAUAAUGCAGAAGUAAGGAAAGCUCUCUCUAGACAGGAAAUGCAGGAGGUUCAAAAUUCAAGGAGUGGGAGAGGAGGGAACUUCGGUUUUGGUGAUGCACGUGGAGGUGGUGGCAACUUUGGUCCAGGACCUGGCAGCAAUUUCAGAGGGGGAGCUGGUAAGACAGAUGGAUAUGGAAGUGGCCGUGGAUUUGGUGAUGGGUAUAAUGGAUAUGGUGGAGGACCUGGAGGUGGCAACUUUGGUGGCAGUCCUGGUUACGGAGGAGGAAGAGGAGGAUAUGGUGGAGGAGGACCUGGAUAUGGCAACCAGGGUGGGGGCUAUGGAGGUGGCUAUGACAACUAUGGAGGAGGCAAUUACGGAAGUGGAAACUAUAAUGAUUUUGGAAACUAUAACCAGCAACCUUCAAAUUAUGGUCCAAUGAAAAGUGGAAAUUUUGGCGGCAGCAGGAACAUGGGGGGACCAUAUGGUGGAGGAAACUAUGGUCCAGGGGGCAGUGGAGGAAGUGGUGGAUAUGGAGGGAGGAGCCGUUACUGAGUUUCUGCAAGCAUGCCAUGGAUCUUUUAGAUGCUGCUUCUUCAAUGGCAAGGAAAGGAAAUAUCCCCAGCGAGGUACUCUUCCAGGGACACAGGUCUAGUACAAGAGAACUCUUGAAAACGUCACUAAGUUCAGCCAGUCUUAAAAAGCUGCGCUGUAUUUCUGCAAAGCUUUAACUACAGUAGUUUAUAAGGAUGCCAACGAAGGCUGAGGGUGUAGAGCAAAAUAGUUCUAAGCUUCAGUUAAACUUCUUUAGCUAUGAUAUGAACCCUGGACAAGCAUAGACUGCUGCCACUGUACACUGCUACAGUUGAACAAAUGAGACCUGCAAGUGUCCAUUAGUAAAGCUUUGCAAGGGUUCCAUCCCUGGUGUUGGUAGUUAAAAUGGAAGGUGCCAUGCUGCAGGUAACUAAUGAAGAAGUGGUCAACCACAGAAACGCUUCAAGAAAUAAGAAAUUCUGUAUCAUCAGAAAAUAGUUGUUUUUGCUGCCUUCAUUAAAAAUCUAGAGGUUAAAUGAAUACUGAUAAAACAUCACAAUUAGUACAGCUCCCUGUAAUGCUGGGUUUUUUAAAUUACAGUAAUAAUGUCUUGUAAACCUUUCGAAUAAAAUUAAGAUUCGUUAGGAGAAACAAAUCACUAAUGUUAAAAUAGCAACCAUUCUGUGAGUAGAAAGUUUAACUACAUAUUUUUAUAACUUUCAUAGCUUUAAAAUAAAGUAUUUUUUAUACCAAAGUAGUUCUAGUGUAAUGCUUAAUAAAACUUAGUGUGUGUCUAACAUUAAAUAAUGUUUAUGUGCAGCUUUUAGACCCUUUCAUGAUUUGAAACAUUCAAUUUUGAGGUGGAUUUAAAACAAAGUCAACUUGGCAAGUGCAUUCACAGAACUUGUAUCUCUGACCAUAGGCAUCUGUUCUCUGUUGGGAGAAACAGUGCUACAAAUUAAAAAUGCUGAUCUUUUUGCUGUUGGACACAAUUGCUUUAAAAUAGCUUUUUGACUGUGUUUUAUAUCACUUUAUAAAAAUAUCUCCUCCUUUCCUGUUAAUGAAACUAACCACUUAAGACAGUUUGUCAAAAUGUGAUAGGACAAUAGCUUUAUCCUUUCCACCUGUAAAGAGUUUUUAGUAUCAAGAGAGAAAGACUUGAAUGGAAUGUAGAGUUCCUGCUGUACCAGAACUGUGUACUGAUAGCUGCAUCUUCUGGGGAAAAAAAAAAAAAACCAAAACCAAAACAACAACAACAACCAUCCCCCAAAAACUGCACAACCCCACCCCACUCCACCCCCCCGAAACAAAACCCCACCAAACCAAACUCCAAGCGUGAGCUUGGGAAAGCUUCAGUUGGGAAUGUAUUUGAGGGAAGGUAUCUUCCGUCUGUACUGUUUUAACCUGUUACCUACAUACACAGUUUAUUCUAAACUUGAAAUUUAUAUGUUCAGCUUUGGCAGAAUCAUAGUGUCUUUAACCUUCUUUAUAUGAUUCAUUAUUAUUUAAGGGUUCACAUAUGAUUUUUUUUUUUCUGUUUCUGAAGUUAAACUUUGAAAUAUUUGCAUAGGUAACCAGCGGGCUGCAACGGAAGCAGAAAAUGAAGAUGGCGCAAAAUCUGCUUUACUUUCUUCUUUCCAACAGAAUGAGUUGACCAUCUGAUCAGGAAUUUGCCUUCUUCCCUGUAACUUAGAUUUAGUUGAUGGAAGUUUUUCUUUACAGUUGCCAAGUCCACGUUCAUGUGACAUAAAAAAAAGCACUUCAAAGGGAAAUAAUUCUUCUCUUUUUCUGUUUGAGAUACUUAUAUUCUUUCAGUAGUUUUACAACACGGUUUAAAAUUUACUUGAAUUAAGUACAUUAUAUUUUCCAUGAGGAUGUUUUAACUUCGAUCUACUGGUGAUGGGGCAAGGGAAUGUAUAGGUAACAGCAGUAUGCAAAAACUAAAUUACUGGAUAUUUAAAAGUUUUGAAAUCUUGGAUUAUUUGAGUAAGUUUCUUGUUGUCUUACUGUUGAACUUUCAUGACUUUUCUUUCUUGGUUUGUUCUUAAGAAUUAAAACAAGUGACAAUCACAGUGUUUACUGAUGAAUUCAGUGAGAGAAGUCGCCGUUUUGAGUCAACCUGAUACUGAAAGCUAGCAACUUUGAAUAAAAACAACAGUGUGUGGUCAAUUAUUGGUCCUCAAUUUGUAGACAAUGUAUGCUUUUCAUCUUUUAAUUUCUAAGAAGUUGGUUUUUUGUCACUCUACAGACUUUGUUUUCAAAGUAAGGGUAACAUUGCUGGUCAGUAUGUUUCAGUGUACUGAGGGAUCAGGUUGUCAGUACUAGGCCAAGCUUGCCCCCAGCAAACAUUUUCUGCAGCAAACUGAGCUAAGAAUGUGAAAGACAACAUGACUUGUUGGUAACUGGUACGGGAGCAAAAAACUACAGUGUAUGACUUGCAUUUAUAAAGUGGUGGUGAAGAGAAGUCAAUACCAGGGUUCUGGCCACUCAGACUUUGUGUUCUCCUGUGUUACUUACAAAGAAAGUUGAAUUUUAUUCACUUCUAUUGUGCUUCAGGUGCUGAAAAUUGUUUAGGAGAAUGUGAAAAAUUGCUCUUAAUACUGUAAAAUUAGCAGGAAAUGAACUUUGUUGUUUGUGGAGAAGAUGAUUGCAUUCUUCUAAUUCUGUGAUGAAUGUACAUACUACCUUGGGGAUGAAAUCAUACUACUUCUGGGGAAGAAAAACCCCCCAAAAACAUAGAUCUGAAUUUUGAAGGAGCUGUCAGCUGAGUGUUUUGGCAGCUUGACCACAUUUGUGAAAGGAUGAUUUGCCAAGAACAUACUGGAACAGUACAUCCCUUGUAGCUUUAGGGUUUCAGUUUGUUUUCAAAGCAGAGUGCAUGAUGCAAGUAAAAUCCUGUAGUAGUGGUGUUAAUUUUUUUUUUUUUUUUUCCUCCUAAGGGAGAUGCCAGGUUCUCUUCUCAUUUAUACAGCGAUACCGGUAGGAAUGCAUAGGAGUGUAAUAUGGAAGGCUUUUCCUGCAUAACGUUGAUCUAUUUUGCCAGAAGUCAUACUGUCCCUUUUAACAGUUGUGUUCUUGCUUUGCAGCUAGUGUUGAUCUGCAUUGCAGUAGAAGUUUCAGUGUUGUCCGAAGUUAUUCCAGUUAAGGUAGCAAGAAUUGGUUUAUUUAUCAACAGUAAAAGUAAACAGUGUUUAACUUUAGAUGGCUAUGUGACUUGCCUGACAGUGCUAUGAGCAUACUAGGUCAACAGUGUUUGGGGACCAUGUAGUUUACAAACUGGCUUGUGUGACCUUCCAUCCUGUGCUUCAUUGUAUGAACAAGGUGACUGUGGGCAAGUCCUAGAAAAUGGUUGUUCCCCCUAAGUUCUCACCAACACAUGAUUCCCACACCCCCCACUUCUUCUUUGGUCUGUUCUUUCUUGGUCGUUUUGGGGGCAUUCUUGUGCGAAAAUCAAUGGCUGAUUUAACGGGGUUCUGGUAGCUGUGUAGCAGGUAUGAAGUUGCAGUGCCUUUAUGGAGGUGUGCUACGGUAAUAAGACUUCACAUGGUUAUGUGUCAUCUCUAUUUGGUUUAUUUAAUAAAUAGUUUUUCACUAGAA
Molecule: RNA transcript, 4809 nt
Organism: Aquila chrysaetos chrysaetos
Lineage: Eukaryota; Metazoa; Chordata; Aves; Accipitriformes; Accipitridae
Gene: HNRNPA2B1
Gene name: heterogeneous nuclear ribonucleoprotein A2/B1
Exons: 13
Source: RefSeq, a predicted model, not a curated record